This 301-nucleotide ribosomal RNA is filed under the name uncultured bacterium. Its description in RNAcentral is "partial 16S ribosomal RNA". It matches the Rfam family "Bacterial small subunit ribosomal RNA", at positions 509 to 809 of the family's 1533-position model. The record is from RNAcentral.
CAGCCGCCGCGGUAAAACAGAGGGUGCGAGCGUUAAUCGGAUUUACUGGGCGUAAAGCGUGCGUAGGCGGCUUCUUAAGUCGGAUGUGAAAUCCCUGAGCUUAACUUAGGAAUUGCAUUCGAUACUGGGAAGCUAGAGUAUGGGAGAGGAUGGUAGAAUUCCAGGUGUAGCGGUGAAAUGCGUAGAGAUCUGGAGGAAUACCGAUGGCGAAGGCAGCCAUCUGGCCUAAUACUGACGCUGAGGUACGAAAGCAUGGGGAGCAAACAGGAUUAGAUACCCCAGUAGUCCGUCUCUUAUACAC